RNAcentral lists this ribosomal RNA (507 nucleotides) under uncultured bacterium. RNAcentral's name for it is "bacterial SSU rRNA". It matches the Rfam family "Bacterial small subunit ribosomal RNA", at positions 8 to 526 of the family's 1533-position model. The record is from RNAcentral.
AGAGUUUGAUCAUGGCUCAGGACGAACGCUGGCGGCGUGCUUAACACAUGCAAGUCGAACGGUGACCUCGGAGCUUGCUCCGGGCGAUCAGUGGCGAACGGGUGAGUAACACGUGAGUAACCUGCCCCAGACUCUGGGAUAACCCCGGGAAACCGGAGCUAAUACCGGAUACGACACGAAGAGGCAUCUCUAUCGUGUGGAAAGUUUUUCGGUCUGGGAUGGACUCGCGGCCUAUCAGCUUGUUGGUGAGGUAACGGCUCACCAAGGCGACGACGGGUAGCCGGCCUGAGAGGGCGACCGGCCACACUGGGACUGAGACACGGCCCAGACUCCUACGGGAGGCAGCAGUGGGGAAUAUUGCACAAUGGGCGAAAGCCUGAUGCAGCGACGCCGCGUAGGGGAUGAUGGCCUUCGGGUUGUAAACCCCUUUCAGCAGGGAAGAAGCGUGAGUGACGGUACCGGUAGAAGAAGCACCGGCCAACUACGUGCCAGCAGCGGCGGUAAUAC